Molecule: long non-coding RNA, 2019 nt
Organism: Alosa sapidissima (American shad)
Lineage: Eukaryota; Metazoa; Chordata; Actinopteri; Clupeiformes; Clupeidae
Exons: 3
Source: RefSeq, a predicted model, not a curated record
GUAAAGACGUGUUUGAAUGUUUCGAGAAAAGUAAUUGAUAUGUCUGUAUAUUUGGCUUUGAGCCAUUUAUAACAGAAUAAACACACAUAAAUACGAAGAUAUGAAACUAUGUUUAGCGGAUGUACAUCUGGAGAGUUAGUUUAGAUUUGUUAACGUAUUAGUGUCACUCUAUGAACGAUAAACUCUUAACGUUACAGUUAGACAGGAAAGGUAACGUUAGCGAUUGUGGAAGUGUGGAUUCGUAACGUUAAUACUUUUAAAAUGUUAUUAUCAAAUGUAAGCAGGCAGUGUGUUGAGAACAGGCCGUUAUCUCAUGAAAUACGUUGUAUCGUCGAAUUAAGCUUACUUUAUAGGCUAACGCUGGCACGAUGCUUCACGCCAUGAUUGAGGCUAACGUUGUCAGGCACGUGUUUGUGAAGGCAGGCAAGCAUGUGCAAUUCUUAGCAAAUAAGUAAUUUAAGUAAUGAUAAACAGGAUGCAAUGUUGGCUUAGGUUAAAUUGGUCUGAUUUGACGGCGUGCAUUCAAAUGUCAGGGUGGAUUGUGAGGUUAAAAUCGUGGAUGAAUGUAAUGUUAGGUUAUGGCUAAAAUAGUCCUGAACUAUGAAGGGAGGGCACAAGCUCACAUAAGGCGACAAACAAUUGUGUUGUAACGUGACCAUGACUCGUCUAAAUUAUUAUUUUCUGUUGGCUAUUUUAGGUGGCAAACGGUAGCCUAUUACGUACUGUUCUGAAUUACCUAAUCUCAAAUGGCUUCAUAUAAUGUACCAAUUACUUCAUGAAUUAAACAACACAAUUGUUUUAUAAAAUUCAUAAGCCUAACCUUUUUUGUAUGACCAAUUCCUGCUAUGAGAUGUCUUUGUUUGGUUCAGACCAUGGUUUUAGAUAUGGGAAUAGAUUUUACUGGGGAUAGGAAUUAUAUUUGUAAAUGUAAAUUGUGAAGGCAUAAUAUACAGAUUUUUCCUUGGCUCAAUACAAAUAGAAUGUCUAGUGCUACUUCUAGAAUGUGGCAAUGCCAAGAGGUUCUACCUUUUAGGUAGCUAAUUUGCUGGUUUUACACCAAAAUCCUGUAGUGCUGCUUUAACAAUUUUCUGUAAAUUGGGAGAGUGUAUUGGUAUAUUAAGAAUGACUACAAGCCACAUCACACAUUUGCAAGUUCAAAGUACAUAUUAUUGUAAAUGCUAAGUAUGUAUCUUAAAUAAUCUAUAUAUAUUUUUGUUUUAAACUGUUUUCCAGAAUCUGGAUGUUUGAGUGAAGUUUUAUAUUGAAGAUGCCGUGUCCAAACAAGCGCUCCAGGGCAGCCAAAAAAAGACAGGCUGAUUUGAGGUCCAGUAAGAUGCCGGCUGAUGUCGCUGAGUCAGGACAGACUACAGUGGACCGAGAUACCGAGGUUUUGCCACCGCUACCUCGUAAAAAUAAAGCAAGGGCCGAGGUUUUGCCACCGCUACCUCGUAAAAAUAAAGCAAGGGCCGAGGUUUUGCCAGCGCUACCUCGUAAAAAAAAGGCCAGUGCUCCGCAGUCUUCGGACGCCAACUUUGUUCCCGUACUGCUCCCGUACUGUUCACGUACUGCUCAAACUCAGCCAAACUCUGCUGAAACUCUGCUCAAACUCAGCCAAACUGCUGACUCUCUGAAUAUGUGCCAUGACUCUGCAAACCCACUGUCAAAUACUUUGCCUUCUAAUGCUACUAAUGAUUGUUUGAUUGAAUCUGUUGACUUCUCAGAGAGAUCUGUGCUGAUGGGGUCCUUUCAUCAAGGCGAUUCACGGUUUGGAAAUGUGCGCAACAAGCAGUGUGGUGCCAUCAGUUUGACUGCUGUUUUGAAGUCCAAGAUGAAGAACGUGUGGAGCUGGGAAACUGGAGAUCUUGAUGAUGUUUUGAUUAAGGGAACUGUUCUUUACAGGUCAAUGAGUGCACAGGGUAAAAUAAGAGACCAAGGAAGGGGUUACAUUGCUGUGUCUGAAUUGCCUAGGCAAUAUGAAGUGUGGAAUUGUGAUUUCUCAAUAAACUUUGCUGAUUCUUA